This 400-nucleotide ribosomal RNA is filed under the name Bacteroidota bacterium. Its description in RNAcentral is "bacterial SSU rRNA". It matches the Rfam family "Bacterial small subunit ribosomal RNA", at positions 1 to 402 of the family's 1533-position model. Lineage: Bacteria; Pseudomonadati; Bacteroidota. The record is from RNAcentral.
UAAUUAGAGAGUUUGAUCCUGGCUCAGGACGAACGCUGGCGGCGUGCUUAACACAUGCAAGUCGAACGGAGAUAAUAGCAAUAUUAUCUUAGUGGCGGACGGGUGAGUAACGCGUGGGUAACCUGCCUUUCACAGGGGGAUAACACAGGGAAACUUGUGCUAAUACCGCAUAACAUAGAGAAGUGACAUCACUUUUUUAUCAAAGGAGCAAUCCGGUGAAAGAUGGACCCGCGUCCGAUUAGCUAGUUGGUGAGGUAACGGCCCACCAAGGCGACGAUCGGUAGCCGAACUGAGAGGUUGAUCGGCCACAUUGGGACUGAGACACGGCCCAGACUCCUACGGGAGGCAGCAGUGGGGAAUAUUGCACAAUGGGGGAAACCCUGAUGCAGCAACGCCGCGU